GGGGAAUUUUGGACAAUGGGCGCAAGCCUGAUCCAGCCAUGCCGCGUGAGUGAAGAAGGCCUUCGGGUUGUAAAGCUCUUUCGGCCGGGAAGAAAUCGUGUUCUCUAACAUAGGACAUGGAUGACGGUACCGGACUAAGAAGCACCGGCUAACUACGUGCCAGCAGCCGCGGUAAUACGUAGGGUGCGAGCGUUAAUCGGAAUUACUGGGCGUAAAGCGUGCGCAGGCGGUUUUGUAAGACAGAUGUGAAAUCCCCGGGCUUAACCUGGGAACUGCGUUUGUGACUGCAAGGCUGGAGUACGGCAGAGGGCGGUGGAAUUCCACGUGUAGCAGUGAAAUGCGUAGAGAUGUGGAGGAACACCGAUGGCGAAGGCAGCCCCCUGGGCCUGUACUGACGCUCAUGCACGAAAGCGUGGGGAGCAAACA
This 426-nucleotide ribosomal RNA is filed under the name uncultured bacterium. RNAcentral's name for it is "bacterial SSU rRNA". It matches the Rfam family "Bacterial small subunit ribosomal RNA", at positions 356 to 774 of the family's 1533-position model. The record is from RNAcentral.